GUGCCAGCCGCCGCGGUAAUACGUAGGGACCAAGCGUUGUUCGGAUUUACUGGGCGUAAAGGGCGCGUAGGCGGCAAUUCAAGUCAGCUGUGAAAUCUCCGGGCUUAACUCGGAACGGUCAGCUGAUACUGCUUUGCUAGAGUGCAGAAGGGGCAAUCGGAAUUCUUGGUGUAGCGGUGAAAUGCGUAGAUAUCAAGAGGAACACCUGAGGUGAAGACGGGUUGCUGGGCUGACACUGACGCUGAGGCGCGAAAGCUAGGGUAGCAAACGGGAUUAGAAACCCCCGUAGUCC
RNAcentral lists this ribosomal RNA (292 nucleotides) under uncultured bacterium. RNAcentral's name for it is "partial 16S ribosomal RNA". It matches the Rfam family "Bacterial small subunit ribosomal RNA", at positions 505 to 796 of the family's 1533-position model. The record is from RNAcentral.